CCAACAUGGACACUCCAGGAGGCCUCUGUCCCUGGGCUCUGUCCAGGCGGCUUAAGGGAACAUAAGGCUCUGCUCCAUGGUGUGCAGUCCCUUUCCACAGCACUGGAGGUGAAGCUGGGCCAUUGAGUCUGUGCCUACAGACCCCCAUGACUUCUCAGAGUCCUGUGGAUGAUGACUGGGGAGAAAUAUCAUUCAGGAAACAAUG
Molecule: small nucleolar RNA, 205 nt
Organism: Jaculus jaculus (lesser Egyptian jerboa)
Lineage: Eukaryota; Metazoa; Chordata; Mammalia; Rodentia; Dipodidae
Gene: SNORA73
Rfam family: Small nucleolar RNA SNORA73 family
About the family: U17 (SNORA73A and SNORA73B) also known as E1 belongs to the H/ACA class of small nucleolar RNAs (snoRNAs).
Source: Ensembl